AUUGAACGCUGGCGGCACGCCUAACACAUGCAAGUCGAGCGGCAGCGAGAUAAGUAGCAAUACUUAUUGUCGGCGAGCGGCGGACGGGUGAGGAACACGUAGGAACUUGCCUGAUAGAGGGGGAUAACCAAGGGAAACUUUGGCUAAUACCGCGUAAGCUCGGAAGAGGAAAGAUGCCUUUAGGGGUAUCGCUAUCAGAGAGGCCUGCGUCCGAUUAGCUAGUUGGUAGGGUAAGAGCCUACCAAGGCGAUGAUCGGUAACUGGUCUGAGAGGACGA
RNAcentral lists this ribosomal RNA (277 nucleotides) under uncultured bacterium. RNAcentral's name for it is "partial 16S ribosomal RNA". It matches the Rfam family "Bacterial small subunit ribosomal RNA", at positions 30 to 303 of the family's 1533-position model. The record is from RNAcentral.